UGUCUUUCCUUCUUCCGCAAAAUCGUCAAACUUCAAGGUCGAAAAAUCCCUAACUUUCCUCUUAAUUCCCUUCGAAAAUCAAGAUCAUUGUCCGCUUCCCUUCUUCCGCGCGUCUUCUUGUUCGCAAAAUCGAAGCACCCAAAAUCGUUCUUCCGUUCAAAAACCCAAGAUCAUCUGUGUUCAAAAAGUAGACGUCCCUUGCAUUUUCGCUGUCCGUUGUCCACUAUACAAGUCUAAACCAUCGUUCGAAAAGAAGAAGACAGAAAACUUGAAGUUUCUUCACCGAAAAUCUCAGUUCUUUGGCCGAGUAGAACAAUGUAUUUGUGAUGUCAAACAAGAAGUCAAAGUAUCCGGAUCUUCAAGUAGAUUUGAGGGGUAUGUAUUUGUGUCGCACACUUAGCUACCGAGGAGCAGAAUUUAACAUUGUGGAAGCACCGUUGGAAGCUGAGAUGAUGUUUACUAUGGUCUCUUGAAACUCUGUCGUUCUAUAUCCUACUUAGGAAAUGUAUGCAUUAACUGCUGAAUUUUGGGCAAAGCUGCAAUUAGAAUGGAUGACAGCAAGUGCUUAUGUUACUAGUUACAAGCCUAGCACCAAUCAACUUUGGCGAUUAUUUUGGGCAAGUCAUCAGGAAUAUAUAUUUGGGAUUUUUCUUAAAAGUUGAGUUUCUCUUUAAGUUGGACUUUUAAAUAUUUCUUUAUUUUAAUUUAAUUGAAGUGUGUUACAAAGGUUUAUAUGUUCUAUACCAUUUCUCUUACUUCAAAACUUCGUCCUUUUGUAGUGUCUCUUCAGGCAUAUCUGUAUGUCUGCAAAGGUUCCUGCUAGUGUUAGACUAGCUAGCUAAGCAAUCAUUAUUGGAAGAUAAAUGUGUAUUAUUGAGAUUGAAAAUCCUAACUUGGUCAAGCUAAAAACCUUGAAGCUAGAGAUAUUGAUAUCGGGAAAACAACUGAACUUUCAAGGCGUGAAUGGGAAGAGAUAGAGAAACAAAAGGCUCACGAGCAAUUCAUGAGGCUCCAAAAACAAGGAAAAACUGAACAAGCUAGGAAAGAUUUAGAUAUUUGAGCUUCAAUAAUUUAAAGGGAGAAAUUCUAAGGGAGCUUGCUAGUCUUCUAGAGCUUCAAUACCUACAUCUACAACAAAAUUGUUUCAUUGGACGAAUUCCUCCUGAAUUGGGCACCCUGCAACAUCUUCGCCACUUAUAUUUUAUAUUAUUCAUGGUCGCCUGCGAUGACUAUAAGUUCUAUCUGUAUCAUCAUUCUCUCCAUGCUAUCGAGUUCCACAACAAAGAAUAAUAAUUCUUGAUAGUUUAAAACUGUCAAGAGAGUCUAUUUUUGUACUAGUGGAUAUGCAUGCUUAAUUGGGUAGUUGACAACCACCCAGAAUGGAAGGACCUUGCAGAGAGGGUCUUUGACAAUGAACAGUUUCAAUUCAAGGUCAUGUUUCCUGACGAAGAUUUCGUGGAACGAAGCACGUUCUAUAAAAGGCAAAGUACAGAGGAAACUCAAAAAAGAUUUGAGAAAGGAGAAUGCUCAUGACAAGCUGAGCAUACAAAUGUGGAAGUUCCUAAAUACUUCCUAAAAUUUCAAGAAUUAAUUAUGGCUAGCAAUGAAGCUUUGAACGUGAAAAUGGACAAACUGCUUCUAGAGGUCAAAGGACUCAAAAAACUGUUGAAAGAGAAAGAAAGUGCAACAGUGGAACAAACUAAAAACAUACAGAGGGAUGACAAUGAUGUGAUGGAGGUCACAGUCUGAGAAAUAAUAGUGAAGAAAGUGGAACAGGAGAUAAAGAUAGGAAAAAAGGAUACUAUGUAUUUUACACAUAUACAUAUUUGUGAUUAUACUUCUAUUCAUGACUGUAUAUUUUACAUACUCACUUUAAUGAUGAUCAUGAUAGAAAAAAUGCAAAUGAAAAUGAAGAACAUUAGGUAGAUUAUCAA
RNA transcript from Cucumis melo (muskmelon), 1934 nucleotides. RefSeq lists it as uncharacterized. The record is from RefSeq and is a predicted model, not a curated record. The transcript is spliced from 9 exons. Lineage: Eukaryota; Viridiplantae; Streptophyta; Magnoliopsida; Cucurbitales; Cucurbitaceae.